CUUUUCCUCUUCUCCUACCCAAACUCUUCUUUUUUUUCCUUUUCAAAACAUUCUUCUUGCAGUGAAGAAUGAAAAUAGGGCUGCAAAGGUAGGAAAUCUUAAUGAAAACUAUUUAAAAUCCGCAGCUGUGGCUGUGAAGGUAGCAUCAGUUAAAAGGAAGAUGAAGAAAGCCCCACAGCUCGGCACCAGUCACAAGGUUUUGGAGGUCCCUCUCAGGUCAGUUCCUGGAACUUGUCACAACCUGAGUGGCUCUCUGGACUGUCAUCUGCAAACCCCAGGCCACAGGACCUGAGCCCAGGCUGCCUUCUCUAUGACCUGAGGCCUUGGGGAUCUGGGCCUGCACGGUGCCCAGGACAGAGGCUGGAACCUCACUGGACAACCAACAAGGACUCGGAGGGGAGCUGAGGUCAGCGCGGGACCCUUUCCUCCCUGCCCCAAACCAGAAGUAGCCACUGCUCGUGGCUCCCAUGAGGCCCUUCCUUCCAGCUGUCAGAGCCUCAGUGUCCACCUCUAGCUGCCCAAGGUGACCACAAAGGGCUCGGUGAGCUGUGGACUGCUACGAAAGGCAAUUGCAAGCCGUGGGCCCAGGCUUUCCAGUGCCGAGCCGCUCAGCAUCUGCUCCUCCCACAGCGCAGCCGCAAAGGAGCCUUCACCUGAAACCAAUCACCCACUUGGAGGCGCAAGUCACCAUGGGAGCCACGGGUGCCCCCUCGUGGUCACAGAGAGGACUGCAGGCCCAGUUUGUUGAGGUGAGGCCGAGAUGUACUAGGUU
Molecule: long non-coding RNA, 772 nt
Filed under: Cavia porcellus (domestic guinea pig)
Lineage: Eukaryota; Metazoa; Chordata; Mammalia; Rodentia; Caviidae
Description: lncRNA (ENSCPOG00000033329.1)
Source: RNAcentral